GCUUUCCAAAGAAGUGCUGGGCGCCCAGCGGGGCGGGUAUUGGCCGGCCCGGGACAUCUGAGCUGCUCUUUCCUGGCCCUGGUGCCCCUCUCUGUGUCCACACCCAUCCACCCAGUCAUCUACCGCAGCCGGAGCAAUAGAGCUGGCCUCCCACACCUGGGUUUCCCAAAAGGAUCUCCUAGGUCCUAAAGUCCUGCAACCGUGAGGUCACCAGCCUCUGUUCAUAAAUCUGUAAGAGGGCCGCCACACAAUCAGUGUAAAUAGAAAUAAGGAAAGCCAAGUGUGGUGGAGUCACUUUCUACACGCUUCUUUUCUAGAGUGGACCUGCUGGCCCAGCUCCUAGCAAUGGAGGAGUAGGGAGGGUGGAGAUGACAGCAGUGGGCCCAGCCCCUCCUGGAAGGACCCACCCAGCUGCCAAGCCUGCAUCCUAAACCUUCAAGCUGUCCCCAACACCUCACUGGAAGCCUGUCCACAGUUGGCCACCCCAUAUGAAACCUUGGAGGGGAAAGGCUGAAAUGAUCACCCCAUCAAGAAAGUGAAAAGACAACCCACAGAAUGGAAGAAAAUAUUUGCAAAUCAUAUUUAAGGGACUUGUAUCAAGAAUGUAUAAAGAGGGCUUCCCUGGUGGCGCAGUGGUUAAGAA
Molecule: long non-coding RNA, 643 nt
Organism: Aethalodelphis obliquidens (Pacific white-sided dolphin)
Lineage: Eukaryota; Metazoa; Chordata; Mammalia; Artiodactyla; Delphinidae
Exons: 3
Source: RefSeq, a predicted model, not a curated record